This 1164-nucleotide ribosomal RNA is filed under the name Triticum aestivum (bread wheat). RNAcentral's name for it is "partial small subunit ribosomal RNA". The record is from RNAcentral. Lineage: Eukaryota; Viridiplantae; Streptophyta; Magnoliopsida; Poales; Poaceae.
AUAGCAAUUGGUGGUGGCAUCAGUCUUAUAUGUCUAGGGCUUUGUAUCAUAUUUGUUUGUCGGAAGUUAAGGAGUCUGCAAGCUAAGAGACUCAAGUCGAAGUACUUCGAACUAAAUCGGGGUUUGUUGUUACAACAAUUGGUGGACAAAGACAUUGCUGAAAGAAUGAUAUUUAGCUUAGAAGAACUAGAGAAGGCAACCGAGAAAUUUGACGAGUCCCGCAAACUUGGUGGUGGUGGCCAUGGUAUUGUGUACAAAGGAAUACUAUCAAAUAAGGAUGUGGUUGCCAUCAAGAAAUCCAAAAUUACUAUUCAAAGAGAAAUAGAAGAUUUCAUAAAUGAGGUGGCCAUCCUUUCACAAAUCAACCAUCGAAAUGUCGUGAGGUUGUUUGGGUGCUGCCUUGAGACACAAGUCCCGCUAUUAGUUUAUGAGUUCAUUUCAAAUGGAACUCUUUCUGACUAUCUCCAUGUUGAAGGCCCAAGAUCCUUGUCUUGGAGGGAUCGAGUGAGGAUUGCUCUUGAAACUGCAAGUGCUUUGUCCUAUUUGCACUCUUCCGCUUUAACAUCGAUAAUCCAUAGAGAUGUUAAAUCUGCGAACAUUCUACUUGAUCAUCGUUUAACUGCUAAAGUAUCAGAUUUUGGAGCUUCUCGAGGUAUUGCUAUCGAUCAGACAGGACUGAAUACUGCCAUCCAAGGUACAUUUGGGUACCUAGACCCUGAGUACUACCAAACAAGUAGGUUGACUGAUAAAAGUGAUGUUUAUAGCUUUGGUGUCAUACUUGUGGAGCUUCUCACAAGAAAGAAACCAUAUGCUUUCAUGCACUCAGAAGGCGUAAGCCUUAUUGCACAGUUCAACUUGGUAUUAAGGCAAGAUAAACUAUGUGAGAUAUUAGAUCUUCAAAUCAUCUCAGAGUGUCUGGAGGGUGCAAAAGAGGUCGCAGCACUGGCAUCGACAUGCCUAAACUUGAAGGGUGAAGAGAGGCCAACCAUGAGGCAAGCGCAGAUGACACUAGAAAGGUUGUUGCUGGCAAAUAAAAACAUUGAAGAAGGGUAUCCAGAUGAGCUAAAUUGCACAUUAGCUCAAAUCAGGAACAACAAUGACAACAAUAGCAGGCAGCACAGUGCUGAGCAGGAACUCAUACAAUCAGCAAGCUUUCCUCGAUGA